RNAcentral lists this transfer RNA (72 nucleotides) under Ultragryllacris sp. 1 JL-2022a. RNAcentral's name for it is "tRNA-Ser". The record is from RNAcentral. Lineage: Eukaryota; Metazoa; Arthropoda; Insecta; Orthoptera; Gryllacrididae.
AGUUAAUCAGCUAACUAAGAAGCAUUUAUGUUUUGAAAACAUAACAAAGAAGUUCAACUCUUCUAUUAACUU